This 206-nucleotide long non-coding RNA is filed under the name Nicotiana benthamiana. RNAcentral describes it as "long non-coding RNA (NBEN_LNC004435)". The record is from RNAcentral. Lineage: Eukaryota; Viridiplantae; Streptophyta; Magnoliopsida; Solanales; Solanaceae.
AUUCACAACUCACCACUUACUCUAACAUAGAGGUCACCGACAUUACCUUUCCUUCAUGAGUCAAGUGCCCUCACACAACAAAAGAGAGUAGUUCCACACAAUGAAAUUUAAGAACACUUAGGAACUCAAGAUAGAAAGAAUUCACUCACUCUCAGAAAUAACAUUCAUAUGCCAUAACAUAUGCACCAUAAGCUUGCCCGUAGUGU